GCUGGGUGUGGUGGCACGCACCUGUAAUCCCAGCACUUUGGGAGGCCAAGGCAGUGGAUCACUUGAAGCCAGGAGUUCAAGACCAGCCUGGUCACCAUGGUGAAAGCCCAUCUUUACAAAAAAUACAAAAAAAAAAAAUUAGCUGGGUGUGGUGGCACGCACCUGUAAUCCCAGCACUUUGGGAGGCCAAGGCAGUGGAUCACUUGANNNNNNNNNNAUUUUUUGUAAAGAAGGGCUUUCACCAUGGUGACCAGGCUGGUCUUGAACUCCUGGCUUCAAGUGAUCCACUGCCUUGG
Non-coding RNA from Chlorocebus sabaeus (green monkey), 296 nucleotides. NCBI's taxonomy places the organism in Eukaryota, Metazoa, Chordata, Mammalia, Primates, Cercopithecidae. The record is from Rfam.